Molecule: ribosomal RNA, 1733 nt
Filed under: uncultured bacterium
Lineage: Bacteria
Description: bacterial LSU rRNA
Rfam family: Bacterial large subunit ribosomal RNA
Source: RNAcentral
CCAUCAUUUAAAGAAAGCGUAAUAGCUCACUGGUCGAGUCGGCUGCGCGGAAGAUAUACCGGGGCUCAAGGUGUGUACCGAAGCUGUGGAUGCAUAUUUAUAUGCAUGGUAGGGGAGCGUUCUGUAAGUCUGCGAAGGUGGAUCGUAAGGUCUGCUGGAGAUAUCAGAAGUGCGAAUGCUGACAUGAGUAACGAUAAUGCGGGUGAAAAGCCCGCACGCCGAAAACCCAAGGUUUCCUGCGCAACGUUCAUCGGCGCAGGGUUAGUCGGUCCCUAAGGCGAGGCAGAAGUGCGUAGUCGAUGGGAAACAGGUUAAUAUUCCUGUACUUUUUAUAGCUGCGAUGGGGUGACGGAGAAGGCUAGAUUAGCCAGCUGUUGGAUAUGCUGGUUUAAGCGAGUAGGUUGAGGACUUAGGCAAAUCCGGGUCCUUAAGACUGAGACGUGAUGACGAUUUCCAUUCUAUGGAGAGAAGUAAUUGAUGCCCUGCUUCCAGGAAAACCCUCUAAGCUUCAGGUUAUGAAGAACCGUACCCCAAACCGACACAGGUGGGUGGGGUGAGAAUCCCAAGGCGCUUGAGAGAACUCUGGUGAAGGAACUCGGCAAAAUGACACCGUAACUUCGGGAGAAGGUGUGCCACCGUUAGGUGAAAGUCCUUGCGACUGGAGCUGAAGGUGGUUGCAAUAAAGAGGUGGCUGCGACUGUUUACUAAAAACAUAGCACUCUGCAAACUCGUAAGAGGAAGUAUAGGGUGUGACGCCUGCCCGGUGCCGGAAGGUUAAUUGAUGGGGUUAGCAUUAGCGAAGCUCUUGAUCGAAGCCCCGGUGAACGGCGGCCGUAACUAUAACGGUCCUAAGGUAGCGAGAAUUCCUUGUCGGGUAAGUUCCGACCUGCACGAAUGGCGUAACGAUGGCCACACUGUCUCCACCAGGGACUCAGUGAAAUUGAACUUGCUGUGAAGAUGCAGUGUACCCGCGGCUAGACGGAAAGACCCCGUGCACCUUUACUAUAGCUUCACACUGGACUUUGAAUAAGUAUGUGCAGGAUAGGUGGAAGGCUUUGAAGCGGAAACGCCAGUUUCUGUGGAGCCACCCUUGAGAUACCACCCUUACUUGUUUGAGGCCCUAACUGAGGUCCAUUAUCUGGAUCCAGGACCGUGUGUGGUGGGUAGUUUGACUGGGGCGGUCUCCUCCCAAAUUGUAACGGAGGAGCGCGAAGGUACUCUAAUUACGGUCGGAAAUCGUAAGGUUAGUGCAAAGGCAUAAGAGUGCUUGACUGCGAGACAGACACGUCGAGCAGGAACGAAAGUUGGUCUUAGUGAUCCGGUGGUUCUGUAUGGAAGGGCCAUCGCUCAACGGAUAAAAGGUACGCCGGGGAUAACAGGCUGAUACCCCCCAAGAGUUCAUAUCGACGGGGGUGUUUGGCACCUCGAUGUCGGCUCAUCACAUCCUGGGGCUGUAGCCGGUCCCAAGGGUAUGGCUGUUCGCCAUUUAAAGUGGUACGCGAGCUGGGUUUAGAACGUCGUGAGACAGUUUGGUCCCUAUCUGCCGUGGGCGUCGGAGACUUGAGAGGAGCUGCUCCUAGUACGAGAGGACCGGAGUGGACGUACCCCUGGUGUUCCAGUUAUCGUGCCAACGGUAUUGCUGGGUAGCUAUGUACGGACGGGAUAACCGCUGAAAGCAUCUAAGCGGGAAGCCCCCCUCAAGAUAAGGUCUCCCGGGAUUUAAGUCCCCUGAA